Long non-coding RNA from Manis pentadactyla (Chinese pangolin), 4849 nucleotides. RefSeq lists it as uncharacterized. The record is from RefSeq and is a predicted model, not a curated record. The transcript has 3 exons. Lineage: Eukaryota; Metazoa; Chordata; Mammalia; Pholidota; Manidae.
AAAAGCUUGGGCAAGCUGUGAAACUUCUCUGAGCUGUGGUGUGCUUGUCCGUGAAAUGGGAUGUUGUAAAGCUCCAGUGUGCCUGUCACAUAGGCUGGGAGUCACAGACAGACCUGUCUGACUACAAGACAGUGUCCUUCCUCAGCACCCACACUGCCUCCUGGGGACAAGCGGAUAGUAGGUGGUCAGAAAAACACUAAGGAAGCACCUGUCCUUGGCUUUGUCUCGGCUGGGUCACCACGGACAAACUUGACGGAAUUGCAUAAUAUACUAAGAAAAAUCAGUGUCAACUCUGGGUACAAAUGUGGAAAUGUUUGUUAAAUGGUAAGUAAAGGAAUUAGACAAAAUCGUGUACCCAACAGGGUUACAACUCUUUAUUAUUAUUUUUAUCUGUUUAGGCAUAUGGUUAAAGAUUAGAAGAGAUGAGAUGCAUUAAACAGCUUAUAUUCUGGUGAACAUGGGGUUGCUCUUUGUGCUUUUGCUUUUCUUCACAGUAGUAAUCAGCACCUAUGUUGUACUGUAUAGUUCAGAAAUGCGAGGCCCCUGUGGGUGGCCAUCGUUCACGCUGCAGGCAGAUCGAGGUCCAGAGAAGCUGUGGAUCCUGCUGAUAGCUAAGUAGUAAAGUCAGACUCAUGCUCUUUCCACUGCACCGUAUUGCGCCUCACAUUGUAAAGUUGACCAAAGACAGAGAAUUUUGAAUUUAUUUCUGCAUGCUGUGUGAAUGUUCAAGGUGGAUGACCUCUAGGGAGGGAGUUCUGAGGUCAUGUGAAGGUGAAGAGAAAAUAGGAGUGAAGGUUUCCCAGAGGAGAACCCAGGAGGGAGUAAGAAGGUUCAGUAUAUUCUCUUCUUUGUGUUCGAGGAAUGGCUGAGGACAUGGCGUACCAAACCCUCUCUGUCAAAUCUGGCAUAAGGAAUAUACAGAAAAGUGUUGCUAAACUUAAAUAUUCCAAACAUCAAAACUAUUCCAAAAUGCCCUGGAGACACUUGAGUUUCCAUUAUUAGAAAUGAUUCCAUUUAAAGGGAGUCUUCUAGCCCCAUGAGUCCCAGGAUUUGACAUACUAAGUUAUUUCUUGUAAGGCUCCUGACUGGAGAUGGUACCACCACCCUGAAAGCUCUACUAGGGCCCCAAACAUGAUCUACUCCUUUGACAACAGGGAAUAUAAGACCAAAUAUUGACUGACGGGAAUGAGUAUCUAUGGCCAGUUCACCUAAACAUGCUAUAGUUUCCUAUCUAAGGGCAUUCUGUUAUUUUCAAACAUCAGACGAGUACGGAUAUUUAGUGUGAAAGACUAUAUUGGACAUAAUUAUAAUUUGUCCAAGACCAAGAAGGGGCAAAACAAACUCAAAUCGUAGUCUACAGUAAUUUUUGGUUUUGAAGAGGAUAGGUGAUCUCGCCAACAGCCCAGACUGCAAAAGGGACUGUGAGAGGCAGGCCGCUGCUGGAACUUGGGCGGGCCCCCGCCUGUCCUCGAUGGGGUGGUCCUGCUGUGCAGUCAUGAGGAUUUGGGAGCUUGUAACGCUAAUGAUGUGUAAAUGCAUUUUCAGCUAUUUUAGUAAGCUGGCCUUUCCACGUUCAUUAUCAUUAAUAUAUGUGGUUGGGAUAUGUUCCUCCAGAGAUUCUGCAAAUAGCUCUCCUAUUGUUCAGGAAAAAUUUAUAGCAAGUUGGUUAAAGGGGAGGCACCAGUGAGCCCAGGCUUAUACUUCUCAUAGGAAAUGAAAGCGUUACUGAUGGUUUUGUAAGGAGGUGGAUCUUUGGUCUAUAGGUCUAGGCAUCUUUUAAGCAGAGCUAAUUAACUAUGCUUUGAUGAAUCCAAGGGGAAAUGUGGAUGUCUGAGCACUGGAAGGCAGAGAAAGGUGGUACAAAUUCCCCAAGAUUAUAUCCUCCUCUGUGCUAAUUUGCUUUGACAGGUUCUACUUUUUGCCACCGUCUGUCUCCGGCAAAGGGCUACAGUGUCCUCUGGAUGUAGUAGUGAAGAAGGAAGGACCACAGCAGAGUUCAGUGGGAUGGGAGGGUCUUCUUCCCUGGAAGACCCCACAAAGGGCCCUGGCACUGGCAGGGCCUGAGAUUUCCCACUGCUGCAUCUCAAAUGGGGCUUGAAAUUUCUGGCUGGGCCAGGAGAAAGGAAGUGGCUUCACCACUCAGCCAUGCCUCCGCAGAUGAGCUCUGGGUGGCUAGGAAACUGUGGGGAGAUGACAGUUUGGGCAGUGGAAUCCGAUUUUACCUCUGGUACGUUUUAUAGCCAUGAGCUGAUUUGUACCUCCUAAAAGUGAUUUGUUUGGAUGGUAUGGAGGGAUUCUCACAAAUGCACGAGCCCCCGAUAAGAUCAUAAGCAUCCAUUUCUAUAGGCAUGGCCAGUCCAAUACAAACCUACCUCUCUGAUUCCUGAAAGACACCUGACCCCUGGCUCAGGUGGAAUCCUUCCCUUUAUGAAACCAAGGGUCAGAUGGAUGAUCUCUGUGGUCCUCUCCCUCAAAGUGCAAUGUUGCCACUUGGAUUCUAACAAGAUCUUGCUUAUGUUGGAAGCUGUCAGCAGAUGCUAAAAGCUCUCCCUGGUGAGUGGGUACCCAGGCCUCACUGGCUGAAGGAUGAGGUUGGUCCACGGUGGUGUGUCUGGUCUCUGAGUCUUGGUGCAGCAGGAGGAAACGCACUCUCCUGUGGCAGAGACCUGCCCUUUGGCUGUUUUCCUCUAUGUAAACGCCGCAUCUGGAUCCAGCCAGGAGAGGCUGAGCAGGGCCGGAGAGCAGGUGACACGGGGCACUCUAGGGGGAGCAAAUGUGAAUUCAUACCGCCUAGAGUUGGGGAAUAGAGAACAAGAGGUUCUAAAAACAGUGGAAAACUAGAGACAUGAUGGCCAAAUGUGACAUGUGAGCUUUGACAGGAUCCUGGGUUUUUGAAAAAGGCUAUAUAGGACAUUAUUGGGACCACUGGGGAAAUUUGAAUAUGACUCUCUGUUAGAUGAUAUGUAGUCUCAAUAUUGAAUUUCUUAAGUAUACAGUGGGGUUAUGCUUAUGGAUAUAUUAUGUAUCUUUUUAAUAUCUACAGAGAGAGGUGAAGCAAAUAUAAAAUACUAAGAGUUGGUGAAUGUAGGUGAAGUUUAGUGUGUUUAUCAUGCUAUUCUUUCUUCUGCAAGUUUGGGGUUUUUAAAAAUAAGCAGCGUGGGAAAAUUGCUUGUAAGUCAGAUAUGUGCUGUAGUAUAGGUUCUCCAUUCCUACAACCUCCUUCUCCCGUGUUUUAUUCAUCCCACACAUUGAGAAGAACGCACUCCUGCUGUAAUUUAAGCUCAUUUCCUCAUUUGUUCUCUUCUCUCAGGAGACACAGUCAGCAUCCUCCUUGUAAAUCUAGGGCGCAGCCUGAUGGAUGCCCUGGGGGGCCUCAGGCCCUGUGUUUAUGUGUGUUUACCCGGCCCUCUCCUCACCACCCAGCAGGAGCCUCCGUUGAGCACCAGCAGCGCCAGCAGCAGCUAAUGCCUGCUGAGCAUCCACUCUGUCAGGCCCUUUGGCCGCACCAGCUCCAUCUGGGGCUAGGGUCUCUCAUCACCCCAUUUCACAGACCGGUCCAUGAGGCUCAUACUGCUUGUGAAUGACAGAGCCAGAAGUGCAAGAACCCAGGACUUGUGACUCCCAAACCUUCAUUCUUUGCUGCUAUUGAGUGGGUCUCAGCCCGGACCAUGCUGGACUUACGUGGGGAGCGUUUUAAAGAUAUAAGUGUGUGGGCCCCACACUGGGAGUACUGGGGUCUGGCGUGGGGCUCAGACAUCUGUUGCACCGAGAGGCUUGGCUGUUUGGCUUGAGCCUCCAUUGUCUCUCUAAGCCUUGGGUGACUGCCAUCUGUGGCCUGUCUCCUCGCCCAUUCCCCUUGGAGAGUAAACUUGCACCUGAGGGAUUUUCCUCAGCCCUUCCUUUCUGUUCAGAGCAUGGCCGGCUUGGUUUGACCCCGAUGGCCUCACGGGAUGCAAGCUGGGGCUGUGGAUGUGCUUGCAUCUGAGCCGUCACGCCAUUCCCUGCUGUUGGCUUGCCACAGAGUUGUGUGGACUUAGGUGUGAGCACCUGUGGACCCCUGCGCAGGGCGACCUGGGCAUUCUGAGAAGACGCCUCUGGGGAAGGAGAGGACAGAGGCACAUGGAGGAGGAGCGGGCCGCAGCUGUACCCACAAUAUUCUGUUUCUUAUUGUUUGGGUGAAUCUCAAGGGAAUUAGGCUGAGUGAAAGAAGUCAAUCCCCAAAGGCUACAUAUGGUAUGAUUCCAUUUAUAUAACCUUGAUGUGACAAGAUUAUAGAAGUGGAGGGCAGAUUGGCGGUGCCAGGAGUUGGGGGCCCCAAGGGACCUGGUGGUGCCACCAGUAUUCUGUGUCUGGUCUGCAUUGGUGUUGAGUUUCUGCGUGUGAUAUUCUACUGUCGUUUUGAACUAUGGUGCUGUAGUGGGACACUGAGUAAAGGGCACACAGAAUCUCUAUGUUAUUUUUUACAAUUUCACAUGAACCCUGGUCUCUCAAAAUAAGAACUUCAUUAAAAAAAAAGAGGAUAUAAGGCAAAUAUGGCAAAAUAUUAAUGUCUAUUCUAUAUGGGUCUUGGAAAUCUGUUAUAUUUGUUGUAUUAUUUUCAAUCUCUGAAUGUUUGAAAUUGCUAGUAAAGACAAACACCUUCUAAGUAUGCAUCCUUACCCAAGACCCGCUUCUGGUCCCCUCAGGCUGGUGUGAUGGUAGCACAAGUCUGAGCAGUUUUGCAAGGGGAGGGAGGUGGUGCUUAGCGGCUUCUGACUUUUUACUGCCCUUACUCAGCCUGGGAAAGCAGCUAGUGCUCCCUGAGGCUCGGGACCUCCUUCCCUUGCAGCAACCUCGGUGCUCCAGCCCA